GGGGAGAGGGGAGAGGGAGCAAAUUAACUUAUGUGCUUUUGGGAUAAGUUGUUAUAUAUGUGUUUUGCAUAUAUGUCCACAUCUUCAUUUUCUACAGAUUUAGCAACAAUGAAUUUUAUUUUGUUUUUAAAAAGGCUAACUAGAAAAUGGAAUGAGUCCUGUAAUACGUAUUCAAAUAACUCCUUUUGUUCUCUAUCCAACCAGUGCAUUAUUUUUACUAGGUAAAAAACUCUGAUUCUGUCACCAUUUCUUUGUGAAGUAUUAGUCUUACAGCUGUCACAUGAACUUAGUGUCAACACAAACACAGCGGCUGUUUCUUAUCGUCUUUUUGGAAAUAUCAUCUGGUGGAUUAAUGAGUCUCUGGUCUGGAUUGAUAGUUUGUGUCUUCUUUCAAGCUCUUUUCUAUCUGGUGUACAUCUUGAGGAUAAACUGGAACAAAGUUGUGGAGCAGCUAACAGUCAGUGUAUUAUUUUAGAAACAUGGCUCUACUUAAUCCCAUGGCAUGGCACAGGUUCAAGCUGGACUAAAAGGGAAUAAAGAGACCAUGCCUACCUCCUCAGAUAUACCUGUCCUGGGAAGAGAAAUAACUGAUGGAAUCAUUUUGCCUGAUAUCAUCAGACCAGAGAGCCAGACCCCUCAACUGAUGAGAGCAGAAGAAAACACCCAGUAUGCAAUGUCCACCGCUGGAGAGGUCCUGACAGUGAGGCAGCUGAUAUUCCAUCGUGGAGUGGCUUUAGCUCUUGCUGUCACUCUCCUUUCAGCAGGAAUUUUCAUUAAGAGUUUCAGUGGCCAUGGCUAAAAUGGUAGAAUCACCACCAUUCCACAAACUAGAGAUGAUCAUCAUAUGCCAUAUGUUAAGUAUGAAAGGUGACCUUGUUAUUUGGACAGUGUUUACUCUUAACUGUGGAUGGAAAGUAUAUCAGGGAUGUUUCCUUGGUUAUUCCAAGGAAUUGCACUAUCCUAUUGGAGAUCAAGAAAGGGGCUAUAAUUUUAAGUAAACUUUUCCCUGUUAAUUUUAUCAUGGUUUCUAAAUAUAUAAAUUAGAUUUUCCUUGAUGUAAAGGUUACUUACUCUUCCUUACUUCAAACUUCUUUCUUCUCCUGGGGAGUGGUUCAUAGUCCUGUUAAAUAUUAUUGCUGAUCUAGUUUUCUCUGUAUUUCUCUAUGAAUGUACUUAAUCUUGUCAGUGAGUGUAUAUUAAGUGCUUGUUCAAGUCCUAUCUCAGGUAUUGUCAUAUAAGCUUUUAUAAAAUGGAACCUCUUAAAAUUUACAAUGUAUACUGACAAUAUUUGGAGCUAUACAGUCAAUAUAAAAGAUUAACUUUUAGCAUUUUUGCCUUUUAAUUAAUUUUGUGGCAACUGUCAUUAAAAGUAGAAAAUAAAUCUGUGUUCUCUUCUGCUACUCAGCUCCCAGAAUGCUGGCAGCUAUGGUGGCCUCAUCCUCAAAGCAAAA
Long non-coding RNA from Pongo pygmaeus (Bornean orangutan), 1451 nucleotides. RefSeq lists it as uncharacterized. NCBI's taxonomy places the organism in Eukaryota, Metazoa, Chordata, Mammalia, Primates, Hominidae. The transcript has 4 exons. The record is from RefSeq and is a predicted model, not a curated record.